RNAcentral lists this long non-coding RNA (261 nucleotides) under Hordeum vulgare. Its description in RNAcentral is "long non-coding RNA (HVUL_LNC016191)". The record is from RNAcentral. Lineage: Eukaryota; Viridiplantae; Streptophyta; Magnoliopsida; Poales; Poaceae.
GUUGGUUACCGAAUGUUGUUCGGAGUCCCAGAUGAGGUCACGAGGGUUUCCGUAAUGGUCCGGAGAUGAAGAUUGAUAUAUAGGAUGACCUCAUUUGAUUACCGGAAGGUUUUCGAAAUUACCGGGAAUGUACCGGGAAUGACGAAAGGGUUCCGGAUGUUCACCGGGGGGCAGCCCACCCCGGGGAAGCCCAUAGGCCAAAAGGUGCCGCACCAGCCCUUAGUGGGCUGGUGGGAAAGCCCAAGAAGGCCCCUGCGCAGG